RNAcentral lists this transfer RNA (73 nucleotides) under Stegodyphus mimosarum. It matches the Rfam family "tRNA". Rfam says of the family: Transfer RNA (tRNA) molecules are approximately 80 nucleotides in length. Their secondary structure includes four short double-helical elements and three loops (D, anti-codon, and T loops). Lineage: Eukaryota; Metazoa; Arthropoda; Arachnida; Araneae; Eresidae. The record is from Rfam by way of RNAcentral.
GAAUUUGUGAUGUAAUUGGAAGCAUACUCGACCCAUAUUCGAGAGGUCCAGGGUUCGAGUCCUGGCGAGGGCG